AAACUCUGGCAGGGUUGUGCCUGUGGGCAGAGUCAGUGCUGGGCCAAGCCUGAGCUCAGGUGGUGGUCUGGUGGUGGCCAUAUGUUCCCAGGGCUACCCUCUUCCCGGGUUUCUGUGCACAUCUGCAAGGCUUAUCUGGUGGGACCUGAGUUACAGCAGGGGUCUGCUGGUGGUGGGAAGGCCUGGGACCUACUCUGGGCUUCAGCUACCACUCAGGUCGUCGAGGCUGAAAUGGGCCAGGAUUGGCCACCAUUGAGUGUCUGUUGGUGGCAGUCUGUCCUGGUCCAAACGUGAGGUCUGGAGGGAGCUGCUGGAUGGAGGAGGCAGGCCUGGGAAGAACCUGAGCUCUGGCACCAGUCUCAUGAUGAGUGGAUGGACUCGGCCUACCCUGGGCCCCAUCUCCUGCACAGGUCCUUGCAGUGGCUCUGGACUGGAUCUGAGCUCCUGAAGUGGUCUGCCGGUGGGCAGAGGCAGUCCUGGCCAGAGUCUCAGCUCUCGGGAGGGUCAGCCAGUGGUUCUGGGCCGGACCUGAGCUCGGUGCAGGUCUCCCAGUUGAGGGAAGGAUGCAGUCUUACCCUGUGUGUGGCCUCCUGCGCAGGUUGGUGGGGGCAGAUCUGGACCGUAUAUGAGCUCUGGCAGGCGUCUGCAGGUGAGUGAAGUGGUCCUGGUCUGGGACUGAGCAUCCUGCUGGUAGUGGGAAGAAACCGGGCUACUCUGGGCCCCAGCUCCAGUGCAUCUGGGAAGGGCCUGAGCUGGGGCGGGUGUCUCUGGACCUUUAUUUUAUUCAUUUGUUCAUAGGUAGUACUGAGGAUCAAAGCCAGUGCCUUACAUUUGCGAGACAAGAGCUCUAUCACUGAGUCACAACUCCAGCCCUAUUUGCUUCUUCUUGACCUUUAAUCAUGCUAUUUUUUGGUUCUAUAUCAUUUGUUCAGGCAUGCAUCUGGAUUUUAACAAGUAGCAAUUUUGUGAUAUCACCAGCAAUGCUUCAAAAGCUGGCUUCAAAUGAGACCUUGAUCCUCAGCCCGAUUACAUCCCACACAUCCGUAUCACCUCUGGCAUAGGUGCAGAAGAGAGAUGACUAAGACAUGGUCCAUGUGGGGAGGGGGGAGGGUGGAUGAUGGGAAAGGCAGCGGAGCACAACAGACACUAGUAUGGCAAUUUGUAAAUCAAUGGAUGUGUAACUGAUGUGAAUCUGCAAUCUGUGUAUGGGGUGAAGGUGGGAGUUCAUAACCCACUAGAAUCAAAGUGUGGAAUAUGAUAUGUCAAGAAAUUUGUAAUGUUUUGAACAACCCACAAUAAAAAAUUAAAAAAAAAAAAAAAAAAAAAAAAAAAGAAUGAUCCAAAAGGUGAAAAACACUUUUUUUCUGUUUAAAUUUACAUUUUCCAAGGUGAUUGUUUCUUGAAACAAGACUCUCUCUGCCUUAUGGAGAAGUCAGGAUAUAUGACAUGUCCUGGACCAAUGAUGCUUUUAGGAGAAAUGUCACAAGGGUGAAGUCUAAGCAUGACCACUCAAAUGCAAAUUCCAUUGGGUUUUCUUUUUUGUUUUUUAUUAAGAGUCAUGGAAGAACAUUUUUGGCCUUAUGAAGCCUGGCCAUUUUGAUGACUUUUAAUACAAUCAUUGACAUCUUUACAAUCUGUCACUCAAUUGCACUUUGGUGAAAUUGUCUUUAGAAAUUGUGAUUUCCCUAUUUUCCAGUUUUCAGGUGUGAUGAAUUACAUGUUCUAUUCAAUUACAUGCACAUAGUGCAAUUGUUACAUAAAUAAAGAUGUGAAGCUCUUUAGGAAAAAAAAAAAAAAAAAAAAAAAAAAAAAAGACAUGGUCCAUGACUCUCAACUUUUGGGAAAAAUUGUUUUGAAGAGGUAAAGGGUAAGGCGACACUUGACAGAGAUCUGCAGAACGCAGAGCCAGGGAUGGAAGCCAAGGCUUUGGGAAUGCGAGGCAAGCACUUUGCGGUUUUGCCAUUGAGCUGCUUCCCAGCCCAUUCAUUCAUUGUCAGCGUGGGAAUUUGGGGCUGCUUCUAUGAAUGAAUCUACUAUGAAUAUUAAAAAGAGACUGACCAAUGGCGUUAGUAUGUGUCCAACCCAAUUAGCAUAACUUUGGGCCAAUAGCAUUGGUCCUUUUUUCAAGUCCUAAUUAGCAUAAGUUUGGACCAAUAGCAUUGGACCAAGCGCUAUAUAAACCCCUUGCAGGUUGUUCAGACGUAGAGAAGCAGCGGAGGCCAUCGAGGUUGGUGUCCUGGAUUUCGCCGGACUUUCGCCGGACUUUCGCCGGACUUUCGCCGGACUUUCGCCGGACUUUCGCCGGACUUUCGCGGGACUUUCGCGGGACUUUCGCCGGACCUUCGCCGGACUUUCGCCGGAGUUCCAUGGAAGUUUCACCCUGGUUUGGUUCCCAGAGGUGAUUCUUCGACUUCCAAGAGACUGCUGAAAGAAAGAAGACAUGGUUGAGGAUCUGCUGGGGUCUGCUGCAGCGCUGGAUGGAAUGGCCCGCCAUAAGGAGGAAUGUGUCCUGGGAUGAGAAGACUCCAUUAAACCCGGGUUGACCACAAUGAGAAUGGAUCUGUAGGAGUCCUGGUGAAUGGAAAGCGAUUAGAUUUCUAUACUGCUUUCCAGAGCUUGGGAGGUUGAAGCAGGAGAAUUGCAAGUUCAAAUCCAGUCUCAGCAAUUUAGCAAGACCCUAAACAACUUUGCAAGACCCUUGUCUCAAAAUUUGAAAACAAACAAACAAACAAACAAAAAGGGCUGGGAUAUGGCUCAGUGUUAACCCCCCAUGGGUUCAAUUCCUGGUACUAAAACAAAUAAAAAUAAUGUUUCAUAAAUCACUUCUGAAAAAAAUCUCCUUAAUUUUCUUAACUGGUGUUUUAAGAUUAUGUCCACAUACAAAAACACGUCAACCAUUUGACACCAGAACAAUAUACUGCCUUCAAGAUGCAGGAAAUCUUGUUAUUUGAAACCCUAAUGAGCUUUAGGAGACAUUAUUGUAUUUGAAAACAGCAAAUGUAGAAGGUGGUGCUCUAUGACCUCAAUGAAGUGUGGAAUCAAAACCAGUUGCUCUGUAAAAGCAGAGAGCAGGAUGGUGGUUCCCAGGAGCUCGGGGUUUACCAGUCUACUAAUAACAUGGAUGUAGAUUACAGACAUAGCAAGUGCAAAUGACCUGAGCCUUUAGAUUGAUGAACACUAGUGGUUGAAAUAAGGGCAGUCCUGAGGGGGUAUAAGGUAUAAGGGUGGUGAUAUAAGCAAAGACCAGAUGAUACAGGGCCUUGUAGACUACUCUGAGGAUGUGCUCCAGGGGAAAAAAAAAAUGUCUAUCUGCAAACAUUUUGUGCUCAUCUAUGAGUUUGGAAGAAAAUUACCAUACAUAGUCUUCUGUAGUUUUUUAAGGAAAUGCUAAGACCUUAAAAAACUUAAGUGUAUUAUAUUUUUAAUAAUUUAAGAAACUUAACUUUGUGAGGAAAGAAUUAUUUUAACUUAGACACAAAUGUGUGUAAAAUUCACAUUGUGAGGUAGAGAGUUGGUUUCUGCAGUAACUGUUAGUUAACUUAGAAUUAGAUGUUGAGAUCUCAAAAUAUAUUUAGAAGUUGGUAGAAAUGAAAAUAUGGCGAAGGGAGAAAAUAUGUAUAUAAUUGCUAUAAGUUAGAGAAUGCAUUUGCCAAUUUUUAUAAAAAAUAAUUAAAAAAUUUAGACACCAUGUUCCCAUUUGCAUAAUGAACUUUGACUAACCCCAGAUCUCUGUCUGCUUUUUAAGGGGAAAGUACUUUGUCAUCUUUAACUAUCUGGACCCUUAACUAUCUGGUUCCUUAAUCUCUAAGACAUUAGGCUAUUUAAGAUCCAUCAGUGUAUUAAAUGUUUAAAUUUUCAGAUUUAUUUUUAGAAUUUGGUCCCUCAAACUAAAUGUAAUUUAAUUUGUAGUGAAAUCCUCACAACCUAUGGGAGGAAGAAUGUUCCCUUUAAUCCCUCAUGUGAAUUACAUGGAUUUGAGUUUAUACAAUAUGUAAUGUUACGUUCUCUUUCAUAACUUAAUUAUUUUAUCAAAACCUAAGGUGAAAUUGGCAGGUGUCCUUAGUUUAGCAUCCAGCCAAAGAUGAAUCCAAGAGCAAUUUGCUGAAAAGAAAUAGAGAAACUUUCUCUUCUGCCAAACUUUCUCAUUCCUGCUGCUCUUGAAAACUGUCUGUACAGGGGAAAAAAUCUAUAAACACAGAUAUAAAAAGCAACAGUUGCCUCUGUUCAACUUCCCAUCACAUGUGACCUGAUUUUCUAGUUCUCUGUGAUGCCCAGACCCUUGCUUCCCAGCAAGAGCCAAAGCAAACUGCUUUCAAGAGUCUCCAUCUCUGUUUGCAAACCAUACCCAGUUUACCUAUUAGACAGGCAUCUGGCAUGGGGACCACAGCACAGCUUCCUCCUGUACCCAAAGUCUGAGACAGGGGCUGAGCUGUAUUCUGUCUGGACUCAUCUGUAGAUGCAGAGGUCAGUGUUUGAUGAGAUAAAUUGACUUGUUUUUGAUCCUAGGACAAAACAAAACAUUUUGGGGACCAUAAAUGGCCUGAGGCUGAUUUGUUUUCUGGAGAAGGGCAAAGAGUAUAAUAUACUAUAGACUGCCCUUGGAAAAAAUGUUGCAAGGGGAAAGAGUAACUCUGAAGAAGGGCUAGAGACCAGGGAGAGACUGACUACGUAAUUAAUAACCCAAAGCUACAGUCUGUUGCCAAAUUUUUCUAGUGAUUUCCCCUAAUCCUUCAAAUUCUUCCUAAAGUCUUUUGAAAGAUAUUUUUGCAAGAUACAACAUUAACUUCCAUUCUAUUUUGCUAUCAUUUGUAUUUUUUUCUUUGCUAUGUUCAUGAACUAGAGCUAUUUCCUGACCUUUUGGACAAGGCCAUUAUUUUCAGAGUCAAAUUAAAAAUUUUGGUUAAGGAUGCUUAUGUAUUCUGGAAAAGAAAAUUCUGAAGAUAUCAUUUGUGUUCUUAGGCAAAUUAUGACACCUAGGAUUGUUUAACCUUAAAAAAUUCUUUUAUAAUUAAAGCAUUAAUAGAAAUAUUACUUAUAUCAGUUUAUUGUUGCAUAACCAAUGAUUCCAAAACUUAAAAUGGAUAUUAAAACAAUAUUCAUUAACUUAGUUUAUAUUUCUGUGGGAUGGAAAUUUAGGGUGUUUUCAUCUUACAGUUCUGGGUCUUGGCUGGGCCCUCUGUGCUGUCACGUGCAUGUCAGUUCAGCAUGUCUGCUUCUAGGAGCUCUCUGAUUGUCAGAAUGACUGUGAGACUAGGCUGCAUUUCUCCCACCUUCUAGUUGGUUUGUCCAGAUAUGUUUAUAUGUGGUCACAAGAGUGGCUUGACUUAGAACUGGUAGACUAUUAGCCUAUAACAAGUAACAAAAUUGGCUCAAUUUAUCAGGUAGGGAAUUAGACUCCAUGAUUUCAUGGAGGAGCUUGUACUGACCUUGCAAAGGUGCAAAGAGGGGCUGUAUUUGCAAUUGACCUCACUAAUCAAUGGCACUACAUGCUAGGCAAUUUAUAUACAUUUUCACCAAUUUUUACAAUAACACAAUAUGUUAAUGAUCACUUCCUCACUUAAGAGUUGAAGGCACUGAAGUUUAGAGAGACUAAUUGCCUUGCCCAAGAUUGUAAAUAAUAAUCAGACAAGCUCUAUCUUGGACAAUAAUUUGUGUGAAACAAAAUCUUUAGGUUAAUUUUUUUCUUGUUCAAUUUCAUAUUUUUUUUUCUUUUAUUGAUCUUAUUUUUUAAUAAAUACAGGACAACAGUGGAAUGCAUUACAAUUCUUAUUACACAUAUAGAGCACAAAUUUUGGUAUCUCUGUAUAUAAAGUAUAUUCACACCAAUUUAUGUCUUUAUACACGUACUUUUUUGCAUUACAAUUCUUAAUACACAUAUAUACCACAAUUUUUCAUUUUUUAUCUUCAUAGUUUCACCUUCUGUUAAGUUCUGGAAUCAAAUUCUACCAUCUUUCUUCCUCUGUUAAAAAUCUUAUUAUACUUUAACACUAUAUUAUUUUUUUCCAGUAAUAAUUUCUUUUUCUGUAAUAAAAAACCAAAAAAUAAAAUAUUUUUUUCUUUAAAAAAAAUUUGAGAAUUUCUUGAUUUUUUAAAAAUCUAAACCUCAUUAUCUUAAUUUUAAAUAGUAAAAUCUGGAUAGUAGUCUGUAGUAUGGAUUUAUUCUGUAUUAAAAAAUUUGGGGGGGGCUGGGGUUGUAGCUCAGUGGUAAAGUGCAUACUUAGCUUGUAUGAAGCCCUGGGUUUAAUCCCCAGCACCACCACCAAAAAAAAAAAAAAAAAAAAAAAUACUAUUUUCCAGUCCUCAUGAGUAUAAUAAAAAUUGGGGUAAGGGAGGAGAGGAAGAUGUAUGUCCAAAAGACAGGCAGGUGUUAUUAGGACAAAGAAAACAAAGAAAUAAUAAAUGUUCUAGAAGAGAUGUGUAAUUCUAUAUACAUAUCUAUAUGUACCUUGACUAACCUUCCAGGGCAGUAGUAGAAUGCAAAGAGCCAUGUUCUCAAGUAUUUGCAUCUAAAGGUUUCUUGCACAACUGACUACUUGUUUGUAGUUGGUGCAUCACCUCACUGUUCUAGCCCUCAUAUUCUGCACUAGAAAACUAAGGGUAUUAGAUUUAUGAACAACUCUGAAUUAAAAUAAUCCAACCUUCUGACUCUCUACACAGGACAUCUGGAGGAAUGUACUUACGGCUGAAAUUUGACCAGCCUACUGUGUAACAAAGUAGUACCUCGUGUAAUUUUCAAUCUGUGUAUGGGGUGAAGGUGGGAGUUCAUAACCCACUUGAAUCAAAGUGUGGAAUAUGAUAUGUCAAGAAAUUUGUAAUGUUUUGAACAACCCACAAUAAAAAAUUAAAAAAAAAAUGAAUGUUCCUACCAAAAAAAAUUCCUUCCAAAGGCAAUGCCAUUCAAAAUUCUCUUAAAUUGAUAUGAGGCUAACCUUAUUAUUGUCCUUAGUGGUCUCUAUUCAUUGUCUUUAGUAAAAUGGAAGUGAUACCUACACAGUGUUCUUCUCUUAAACUGUGGAUUAACAUAAUUAUCAUUUCCUUCUAAUUGAAUGCAAGCAAUUGGUGACAGCAGUAAUGCCUAAUCCUUAUAUAAAACAUCACCUAAUAUUCACUAAUUGUUUUGACAGUGUCUCCCCUUAUGUCUGCUGUCCAAGAUUAACUUGCUCUUGGAAGGAAAAAAAUCAAGGGAAGGCCUGGGAACAAAUGUUGAGAAAAACAUCAGUCAGAUAAGCUCUAAGCUUCAGAAAAAAACACUUUUUAUCUUGUUGUUUUUUUUUUUUUUUUCUUGCUGCUUCUCAUCAAAAUUGAGACCUUAGGAUUUCAGAUAAGGGUAUGAGCUAGAAGUAAGAGCUCGAAGAGGUCUGUGUUUGGUGGGGUGCUAUUGAAGAGCAUGGCACAAAGAAUCCUCUUGCUAGCCAGGCACCUCAUGAUUGAAGUUCUGCAUGAUACUUGGAAUCAGAAAAUCAACUUCUAAUAAGAAUAUUCAUUUGCUGUCUUUGUGCCUGAUAUAGAUCUCAUUUAGGAAUCUGUAACUUGAGCAGACACCUAGAAAGUUCACAGUGUCAGAAGGUGGGGAAGUUGGAACCUAAGUAAUAUAAUAAGUAAUCAAGAGCAUUAUCCAUGCAAAUUCUGUUUGAGUACAUUCUUACCAUUUCUUAUUUCUAUGAACACUGAACUUUGCCAUAUCCAUGGGCUGAGCAUUGUUGUUUUUCAAUUUGCUUUUACUAUCUCAAAUUACUCUUUUUCUAACAGGGCUUUAGGCUUUUAGAAUACCAAUAAAGAUUUGGUAUAUUUGCUCCGAGUUUUCUGAUAAUGUUUUUCAAAAUCAAACAGUUCCUUUAUAAUAAUGAUAAUAAUAAUAGCCACUACUAUAAUAGUUUGUUAGAGUUGCCAUGAGAAAAUAUAGAUUGGGUAGCUUAAACCAAAUAAUUUUUCUCACAGUUUUGGAAGCUAGAAUUUCAAGAUCAUGGUGUUGACAGGUUUGGUUUCUUUUGAGGUUUGUCUUUUGGCUUCUAGGUGACUAGCUUUUAGCUAUAUUCUCACAUAGUCUUUCCUUUAUACUCAAGUGCCAAAGUGCCUUUGUCUAGGCUCUUCUUAGGAAUCCAAUCAUAUAAAGGUCUCAUUUUAACUUAGUCAAUUCUUAUCUCCUAAUACAGUUAUAUUUUGAGGGACUAGGGACAUAAUAGAUGAAUUUGGGGAUUACAGUGACCUUUCUUUAUUUCUGCCAUGCAUUAUUCUAGUCACUUUGAAUGAAUUAAAUUCAGGGUUCUUCAAUCUCAGCACUAAGGACAUUUUAUACCUGACAAUUCUUUCUUGGGGUAGGGUUAGGAGACUGUUCUAUGCAUUGUACCAUUACUAAAUCCAUUUUAGUAUCAUCCUUGGCUUCUGCCAGUAACUCCGUCUCCCCAGGUAGUGAUAUAAUUAUUUGCAGACAUUGUCAGAUUUCCCCUGGGGGACAAAAUUGCUCUAAUUGAGAACCACUGAUUAAGUCUAAUCUUCUCCACACUGUUUCAAGGUAGCUUUAAUAUCCCCACUUUAUAAAGGAAGGUACUGAGAUUAAGAAAGGUUGAAUGACUGGCCAAGUUCACAUAGAAACAAAGGGGCAGAGCCAGGAUUUGAACUUUAGUUGUUUUUUUCCAUGACAUUAAGCUGCUGCUUAGUGGUUAUCCUGCACCUUUUCAGCUUUCACCACUGUCUCUAAAUCUGCUACACCAAAUGCUGAAUGAUGGCCUUAAAAUAAUCAGUAAUCAUGUGAUGAUCCUUUCUUUGUAAUCUUUGUGAAAUAUUCUAAACCAUAAACCUAUUAUGCUUUCUGAAACAGUGACCUAGGGGUAUUACAAAUUGUCCGCAGAGCCAGGCACCAAUGCCACCCUCUUUAUGGUCAUUAAUUAAACUGAGAACAGGCUGAAAGAUACACAUCAGCUGGAUGUGAUGUUACACAACUGUAAUCCUAGUGGCUUGGGAGGCUGAGACAGGAGAAUCACAAGUUCAAAGCCAGGCUCAGCAAAAGCAAGGCACUAAGCAACUCAGUAAGACCCUGUCUCUAAAUAAAAUACAAAAUAGGGCUGGGGAUGUGGCUUAGUGAUUGAGUUCCCCUGAGUUCAAUCCCCAGUACCCUCCCACAAAAAAGACUGAAAUACACAUUAAUAAUAAUAAAUUACAAAUCUUAGCUAAAACAAUUCAUCUUUUCACCCCAAAAUUAUGUGAUAACCCAAUUUUAAAUAUGAAAAUGAAGUCUGGGGAAAUAAGUUGGGAAAUUGCCCUGAUUAGUCAGAGUUAGGUAAAGAAUGAAAAUUAUACUUCUGCUGUGUGGGAAAUUGUUUAAAAACAAAAAAAAUGCUUGCCUAGUGCAUCCCCCAAAAUGUGACAGCUUCAGAAUGGUGUUCAGGUUUUCCUAAGAACCCAGAUGUUCAAUGACUAGUACUUGAACUUUCAAUAAACUCCAGAAAUGUAAAGAAAACUAAAUGAUUGUGCAUAUGUGUGUGCUACAGUGUUCUGAGAAGAAUCCUUCUCUAAUUCUCAAGAAGUAAUAUUUGCUUCCCCACCAUGAAGCCCAAGACUUGAUUAACUUUAUCUUAACAUACCAAUAAAUGUUGUAUUGGCCAUAAAAACAGUCAGCUCUAGUAUAAAUCCAACUCCAGUAUUUAAUUCCUUGACCUUCUAUGUCAGGGAUUUCCAGAAGCAAGCCUAAAAAUCAUCUAAAAUCUAUUUUUCAAGUUAUAAAUUGAACUUUAUUGAAAUAAAAGCUUCUGUUUUGUAUAACAUACUAUUAAUAGUAUCAAAAACAAAUCUUAAAAUUGGGGGAAAGUAUUUGCAAAUCACAGGUCUUCCAAAAGACUUAUCAAUGAUCAUAAACAAGGGAAUUCACAGUAAAAAGAAAACUGAUAUAAAAUCUCAAGACAGUUUACCAAAUAAGUUAUACAGAAACCCACACCUGACAAUGUCUUCAACAUCAUUAGACAUAAAACCACAAUCAGAUAUUCUAAUACUUAAUAGAAUGGCAGAAAUUUUCAAAUGAAACUAAUAAUUUAUGACAUAGAUUCAGAACAGCAUGUUACAUGUUUCAUGCAAUAAGCUUCAAUUUCAUGCUUCUCUGUCUACUUUGAGAAAACUAAGUCUAUGUUCACACAAAAUCCUGCCAAUGGAAAUUGAUAUAAGCUAUGUUUUUAAGUUCAAAAAGUGGAAACUACUCCCAAAUAUAUUUUAAAUUGAGAAUACAUGAACCAUCUGUAUUAUACUAUACAAUGGAAUAUUAAUCAGCAAUAGAGAAAGACAAAGCAAUAUGUGUAACACUAAGUGUGAAAUGUGUGAAAGAAAGCAAACACAAAAGGCUGAAUUUUAAUUAUGAUUCCAAUUUAUAUGACUUUUAUGCAAAUACAAAAUCAUAGGUUCAGAAAUCAAAUCUAUCAUUGCCAGGGACUAGAGGUGGAGGAUGAUUAGACCAGAUAGAAGCAGAGAGGAAUUUGGGAGGGUUGUUCUUCAUCUUUUUUUGCAGUGUUGCAUAUUAUUACAAUCUUUUUCAGAACUCACAGAGCUCUAAAGAAAUAAAUGUUACUUACAUACAUUAAUUAUUAAAAAGUGGAGGCAGUUAGUUCUGAUUGUUUCUAAAGAGAUGGACAAAUGAUCAUGUAGCACAAUCCUCUUUCUUUGUUCAUGAACUUUUAGUGCAGACAGAUGUAUCAUUCACUCAUGUAGUCCAUUAUUUGGAAUGAAUAUAGGAAGGGGGAUUUGUGAUGGUAUCAGGAUAGAAGAUGCAAGAAUGCCUAAAUACUGCUAUAUUUUUAGAUAACUAUGACAAUGCCUUAAGACUAAGACUGUUUCACCCUUUUCAGUCAUAAGAGUCAAAUCUUGGAAAUUCCUAUACAAACAAGGAAUGGAUAUUAUUACAAAUAAAAAGAACACACAAAGGAAACAGGAGCACAGUGUGCCUCAGCCAUAACUCCUCUUGACAGAACAGUUGAUUCCCCAAUACAGCUAGGAGACAGUGGAGAUGAAUCCACCUAGUAAUCGCCACCUAGUCUUUUCUUGGUAAGCAUUAUGCUGAGUGGUGAAUGAACUCAUCAGAUUCCUUCCUGACAGCAGGGCUGUUUAAUUUUGUUUUGAGAAGGAGAAGGAAAGAAAGGAGAUACUAAUAAGAUACCUGAUAAGUAACAAAGGACAGUCUUUCCAGGGGCAAAAGUAUCCAGAGUCACCUUUUCUGGUACUCUUGAUGCUUUCAGACUUUGGAAUAGGCAGGAAAAAGGUUCCCACCAUUUGAUACCCCCAAAUAAGCAUUUAAGUGAAACAGGAGCAGAAGUACCCCCAGACAUGGAUGGAUUUAGUGAAAACCUUUGUGGUUUAAUUGGAGGAAAGCAAAAAGCCCACCAAUUCCUGAAAGUGUGUCCUUUGAUGACAUCAAAACAGUGUAUAAUGCUUCAUUUAACACAUAUGACACAUGGGAGUUUGGCUCCAUGAGUCUCUUAUUGAAAUGUAUUAGUUAUUUUUAGAAGUAAGCUAUUCUCAGACUAUUAAAGCUGAAUGAUUUUAUUUUCUUUUUGUGGUACUCAAGUUGAACUAAUGCCCUCAAAAAUGCCAAGAAAGUGUUCUGCCACUGAGCUGAAUCCCAAGCCCUUUAUUUUUUGAAUAUUGAUACAGGAUCUCAUGAAAUUGUUCAGAUUGGCCUCUAACUUGCAAUUUUCCUGCCUCAGCAUCUUGAGUUGCUAGGAUUCCAGGUAUGUACCAUCAUAUCUGGCCUGAAGAACCUUAGAAGUUCUCUAUUUCUAUUUCUAUUAAUUAGUUUAUUUAUUUUAGUUAGCAAAGCCUGGGUCCUCAUCUUGAUCUUGACGGUGUUAUUUAACUACGUGACCUCUUACAAGUCAUCUUGUUAAAAAAAUAUAUAUAUAUUAGAAAGGUAUUACUCCCAAAUCCCUAGAUAAUAUAUGUAUGUAGUGUAUAUUUGAUUGUAUGAUUCUAAACAUAAAUUAUAUUAAAUUAUUCUA
Long non-coding RNA from Marmota monax (woodchuck), 11975 nucleotides. RefSeq lists it as uncharacterized. The record is from RefSeq and is a predicted model, not a curated record. Lineage: Eukaryota; Metazoa; Chordata; Mammalia; Rodentia; Sciuridae. The transcript is spliced from 5 exons.